UAUGGGGAUUUUUAUUUUCACUUUCAUAAGAAAAAGUACCUUGAAUACCUAGGGGGAAAUCAGGGACAAACUUUCCCACUUGAACUUUCGUCCUGUGCCUUGUCAGAGUGAGCUAGCGUUUACAGCACCGUCUCAACAGGAGCCGGUCUUUCCCCAGGCCAUAUACGCUUCGCAAGGCUGAAGCAUCUCCCAGCAGCUCUACUCGUUAAUAAUUAAUCAUUCAAGGCCUCUCAGCUUGAAUGCUGUAUAUAAACCUCUUACCUGUGUAUGGAGAGCAACUCACAGACUUGCUGUUGUUACCGGCUCCUGUCAUCUUCUUACUCCUUGCAAGCAAAGGAAACACACUUAUUCAAAGAGGACUCCCAAAGGGUUAGCUGCAGCAGCUCUUAGUCACACUGGGAAGAUGUUUUGCGAAGGUGCUCUAUGGGUUAUGGAAUACAUGGAAGAGGCGAAGGCUCAGAAGCCCUCCACGCGGCCCAUUGUGCUCCUGAACAUGGUAGCCGACAACGCUGUCUCUGGUGCAGCGGCCAUCUUUAGUCCAGUGGGGAGCAGCUCGAACACAUCCCGAAACAAGUGGAUGGCAAGGAAGGAGAACCAGACAUCCGAAGCCUGGAGUGCUGGCAAACUACCUAGACUUCCUUCUCUACAGGAACAGGCAUGGAGGAAGACUUGACAUAUUGCAUUACAUUUCAUGACAUUACAUUUGCAUUUAGUCAUUCAGGAGAUAUUUUCUCAUAUUUUCUCUAAAAAAAAGUUAAAAUUACUCUGCUGGGAGAGUUCUAGUGAUCAGUUUGCUCUUCACUAUUUUCUGGAAACUGAACUACACUUGGAGCUAGGUAUGAAAGGCCUCUUUUCCUUCCAGAGAUGCGAUGGAUCUGAAACUUUGGCCAAGGAACCAGUGCACUGCUUUGGAACCUUUCAAUAAUCACAGAUCGUCAAUGAAAUUCAACCAGACAAACAAUUUCUUAUUUAUUCUUUUUUUUUAUUCCUAUCUAAAACAAGAGUGAGUCAAAUUAACACAAAUUCAGUAAAAGUGUAGUUCACACUAUGCAUGGCCAGUACAUGUGGACAUUAAACUAGCAUAUUGAGCCAUCCCAGAAUACUCACUGGAAAGCAGGUACUGUUUCUAAUGAAUGUUCAUGUCUCAUCCAUAGUCUACUUCUUGACAACCUGGAAUAGGAUGUCAGUAUUUUGACACAGGUCUCUACCAAACUCUCAUCUUUGUGAAUAUUGUCUGUUAACAUUUUUUAUUUUAUUUAUUGUCCUUGCUACUUAUUUUUUGUUUUUAAUGUAAGUUAAGUAUCAGACUAUAGUUGUAUUUUCUUGUUUAGUGUUUUUGCCUAAACUGUGCCUUUACUGUGGGUCUUAUAUUCUCGAAGGGAUUAUUUUAAUUGUUAUGGCAUCUAUGUCAUGAAUUUCACUUUUAUGAGCCCAUGUUGGGGAAGUCAUGUCUUAAGGACAUUUUGUGUGUGUAUGGGGGUGGGGGCAGAUCACAGUUCACUGAUAACAUAUACUGUACGACACAUGUUCCUUGGACAUCUCAUUAAAAAUGUACUGCACACAGUGUCACGAAACAGUCACUGUCACAAUCUUCUUUACAUACAGAACAGUUCAAAAGGUCAGAGCAUGUGACUUGGCAGGUGUUAUAUACGCUCAUGUCAUGUAAGCUGUUUUACAUUCAGUUUGUAAAUAAAGUGGAGUUCUCUGGUA
Molecule: long non-coding RNA, 1710 nt
Organism: Alosa sapidissima (American shad)
Lineage: Eukaryota; Metazoa; Chordata; Actinopteri; Clupeiformes; Clupeidae
Exons: 2
Source: RefSeq, a predicted model, not a curated record